UGUGGCCACAUUGUAAGUGCUGUGUGA
Molecule: non-coding RNA, 27 nt
Filed under: Mus musculus (house mouse)
Lineage: Eukaryota; Metazoa; Chordata; Mammalia; Rodentia; Muridae
Source: RNAcentral